Molecule: long non-coding RNA, 898 nt
Organism: Canis lupus familiaris (dog)
Lineage: Eukaryota; Metazoa; Chordata; Mammalia; Carnivora; Canidae
Exons: 3
Source: RefSeq, a predicted model, not a curated record
GAAUUCUAGACUGUGCCCCUUCACACCAACAGAAGAAGCAUCGUCAGCAGCCUGAUGUUUAAAAACUAAAUACUUGAACUGGAGCCAGGGGCUAUGCUCACCAAAUAACCAAUAAAAGACAGUUGUAACUGCUGGGAAAAUAAAUUGCUUAGGGAAGCAUGUGACAAAGGCAAUUAAAAACACUUCUAUUCCAACCAUCAAAAAUCCUGGCCCAGAAAAAUGUGGAAACUGACUUCCUUGACUUUUAGAGAAUGCAGUGGAAGGAGAUUCUGCUAGAAAAGAUUGCAUCUUCCCCUGACAUGGGCAUUAAGAACCUUUCUCUUUUUCCUAGAGACGUAUGUAUGUGAUGCUCUCUUGUGCUCUAAAGCUUGACUCAAAUGUAGCUGCUAGCGAGGCGGAUCUUUGCCUCUUGAGGCGCUCAUGGACUCUGGCCUCUUCUAAUUGCCCGGUGAAGUGCAGCAUCAAGAUCCUUGGGCAUCAGCUAAUGGCUCCUAAGUGCUGGAAGCAGGAGAGCUCGCACAGAAUAAGCAGCAAUCAGAUAUGCCACUCACAUUGAGAUUCAGCUGAUGAUUGGGUAUAAGUGAGUGCCUGCAGUCAAGGAGAGCCUCACUCAACGAAACUACUGCUGUUGUGAAAGUAUUAGGAUUUGCGCUUUCCUAUGACGUCAAAAGGCCACCAAGGUAAAUUCUACGAUGCAAGCAGGAGCUUGAAAAAAUUCAACAAAAAAGUUACAGAAUCCUACCUCCUCUGACACAAUUAUAAAACACUUGUGUCUCACCAUAAAUACAGCCCAUGGCAACAAUUAUCACUUACCGUGCAGAUGGAGACAGUAAAUGUGUCCAUUCUUAUUUAUAUAUGACUUUGAAAUGAUUUUUAUAUUUUUAUUUGAAUAUGGAUA